UACCCCCAUUACCCCUUCAGAACCCUCUUUGUCUCUUUCACCUAUCAAACCCUAAUCCCAUUGUCCACCACCUGUGGCCGGCGUCCAAUGAUCUCUAAAUUACACCAAAGCACCAUCUUCCUCCCCUCAGGAAAAUUCCAACCUCCGUUUCAAUCAAAUCCCACCAGAACUCCUCAAAUCUUCAAAACCCUAGCCGCCGGCCUAGUUUUCUCUGGUGGCGGCGCAGCUCAAAUCACCCAAAAUCGACACCCCCUAACCACCGGACCUCCCUCGUCUUAAAUCUUUUUUCCUCCCACUUCAAAUAUCGACCAAGUUCCUCAAAAUUUUGAAUCUGAGAGUUCAAGUAAAAUUCAGAUGGAAGUUCCAGCAUGCAAAGACCUUCUCCAUUUCCUGUGGUUUUUACCCACUCUUGAACAAAAACGGGGAUUGAUGUUACAUUGAAGUUCAAGCUGGAAGGUUAGCCCUGAGCUUAAGUUGAAUCAGUGAGUUCUAAGCUCAUUUCUUCUUGUUUGUUCUGUUCGUUCCUUCUUUAUUCUCUUUGUACUCAUUUGUCCUGCUUCGUUUGUUUUCUUUCUUAUUUUUUCUUUUCUCUGACAUUUUUUUCAUUAACAAAGUUAGCUAAAUAGUUCUUUACUCUGUCGAGUUUUGAUUGUUCGUAACUUGCGCUCGAAUCUUAAUUUUGCUGCCUUUCGAUUGAUGGUUUUCAUAAAUUAAACUUUUUACGGUUGUGUUUAGUUUUGUUUGACUUCUGCCUGGAGUUAUGUGCAUUUGCCAAUGGUGUGAUUCUAGCUUCAUAUUGAUUUUUUUGUUAUUAAUUAUUUUAUGGUGAACAGACAACAAUAAUUAGUAAUCUGGAAAUCAGUAUUUAGUUAGAUUGGGUUUAAAAUUUGGUUAACUGAUUAGUUUAACCACAAUUAGUUAGAAAGAUUGAGUCAAUUAACAUAGGUUAGUAAUUUUUGGGAUAUUCAGGGGUAUUUUGGGCAUCUAAUAAUGGGUUAGAAUGCUGUAGUUAAAACUAGAAUUCUCUAAUAUCUUUUAGAAUAGUACUUUAGUUUUAAUUUCCGAAAGUUGGGAGGUUAACUUGAGACGUAAGUCAGUAAAUAAGAGGUUAUUUGAGUAAAACACUGGAUUUAAAAAGGACUAGAAUGAAACUGAAAAAUCUGAGGGUUGCCCCUUAGUUUUGCUUAUAUAAAGCAACCAUUAGUGCCAUAAGUCUUAAGUUUGGAGCCUCUAAAAAAUUUCCUCCUAUUGUUCACAAGUUUUAGAUCUGAAAUUUGAAAUUCAAACUCCAAAUAUUAAAAAAUAAAAAAAUAAAACAAGAGAAAAACCAAAAGAAAAUCUAAAAAAAAUUGUUACAUUGAAAGUCGUUAAAUCAAUUCUGAAUUUUAGCUGUUGAUCUUCCCUUCCUAGCUAGGUUUCUAGUUACUGGAGGUUUCAGGACAUUUCUGGGUCAAUUUCGAGUUGUUGUGAGUGUAUUCAAGCUGGUUUUGGUUGAUUUAGUGAUUGAAAUUAAUCUUGGUCGAUUGUUAUUAUCGGAUUUUGAACUUAUUCCUGAGCUGCUGCUGAGAACUUUUAUUGCUGGUGCUCUCUUCUUCUUCUUCUUCUUCUUAUUGCUCUUUGAUGUCCAGGUACACGUUUGAAUCCACUCUGCUUUAACUCUGAGUUUUGAAAAAGAAUAAAAUUGCUCGCCUAUUUGAUCCUGAAAUAAGCUGCCUGGAUUGUUGUGUGUUAGUAGCUAAAUAGACGUUGGAUAUAAAUAUUCAGCAUAGUUUAAAGUCAAUUUGUAUGUACAUAAACCCCGGACUGUAUAAUUGAGACUGAAUCAGACUGUUUUCGAUACUGUUGAGACGUUUAGAAUUAAUUGUAGUCCACUUUCCUAAUAUUUGAAUUUUGCAUAUGAGGGUUAGAACCAGACUGCUGUAAAUGUUGAAUAUGAGCCUGUUUUUUAAGAGCUGCAACUUCAUUGUAUUAAUUUGAAUAGGCCUGUUAAUAUUAAACCAGGAUAUUCACACCUAUUCAUGCUAAGUUUGCACGACUCUAACAGUUUAUUGUAAUUGAUGACUACUAUAGUGAAAUAGUCACGUUCAUUGUAGUUAUCAUGUAAUAUUAUAU
RNAcentral lists this long non-coding RNA (2112 nucleotides) under Nicotiana benthamiana. RNAcentral's name for it is "long non-coding RNA (NBEN_LNC028413)". The record is from RNAcentral. Lineage: Eukaryota; Viridiplantae; Streptophyta; Magnoliopsida; Solanales; Solanaceae.